Bufo gargarizans (Asiatic toad) is the source of this 576-nucleotide long non-coding RNA. RefSeq lists it as uncharacterized. The record is from RefSeq and is a predicted model, not a curated record. Lineage: Eukaryota; Metazoa; Chordata; Amphibia; Anura; Bufonidae. The transcript has 2 exons.
UCCGACAGGCUGUUCACCCACCAGACAUGAGACUGGAGAACAUGUGAAUCUAAUAAUUGUGAUUGAUGAUUUGGUGGCAUGUGAGUGGGUGAGACUAAAUGUCAGAUUGGUACGAGUAGAUCCACCAAAGGGCGAGGUCUAGGAUGCCAGGAGAUGAGCGAAUUUGUAAUUUGAGGCAGGAGGGAAGUGGUAAAGGACAGGUCUAGGAGGAGGAGCAUCAGGGAUUGUCUUGAGGCUAGAUCAUUUGUCACUUUGCAUAGACUACUGUCUUGUGUGUGUUUUUCUAGUGUUAUUUUUCUCUCUCUAAAAUUUUGACUUUUAGGCUCACAGACCAGUUGUGCAUAAGAACAUCCCAUCAGUCAACGAUCAGCUUAAAGUCAUCAAGCACUUAGUAAGAGUCAAGCCGUUGAAACUACCUUAUGGACUUCCAACAGAGGAGGACAUGUUGGACACUUACCUGAACAGCUUAGGCCAGCUGGUGAUUUGUAAAAAGCUGGAGCCAAUUGACAUGAAAUCAAUUGAAUCAUAAUGUGUGUCAUUCCUGUUAUUUGUAAAAUAAAGCAAUUUUGUAUAGUG